RNAcentral lists this ribosomal RNA (492 nucleotides) under uncultured bacterium. Its description in RNAcentral is "partial 16S ribosomal RNA". It matches the Rfam family "Bacterial small subunit ribosomal RNA", at positions 29 to 507 of the family's 1533-position model. The record is from RNAcentral.
AGUGAACGCUGGCGGUAGGGCUAACACAUGCAAGUCGAACGGCAGCACAGUAAGAGCUUGCUCUUACGGGUGGCGAGUGGCGGACGGGUGAGGAAUACAUCGGAAUCUACUUUUUCGUGGGGGAUAACGUAGGGAAACUUACGCUAAUACCGCAUACGACCUACGGGUGAAAGCAGGGGAUCUUCGGACCUUGCGCGAUUGAAUGAGCCGAUGUCGGAUUAGCUAGUUGGCGGGGUAAAGGCCCACCAAGGCGACGAUCCGUAGCUGGUCUGAGAGGAUGAUCAGCCACACUGGAACUGAGACACGGUCCAGACUCCUACGGGAGGCAGCAGUGGGGAAUAUUGGACGAUGGGCGCGAGCCUGAUCCAGCCAUACCGCGUGGGUGAAGAAGGCCUUCGGGUUGUAAAGCCCUUUUGUUGGGAAAGAAAAGCAGCAGGUUAAUACCCCGCUGUUCUGACGGUACCCAAAGAAUAAGCACCGGCUAACUUCGUG